AGGGCGCAGGGCGGAUGCCUUGGCUCUGGGAAGCGAAGAAGGACGUGGCCAGCUGCGAUAAGCCUCGGGGAAGAGCAAACAUCUUUUGAUCCGGGGAUUUCCGAAUGGGGUAACCCGCAUGGCUGUUGAGGCCAUGCACUGUUGAGUGAAUACAUAGCUCAUCAGGGCGAACUUGGGGAACUGAAACAUCUCAGUACCCAAAGGAAUAGAAAUCAACCGAGAUUCUGCUAGUAGCGGCGAGCGAACGCGGAAGAGCCCAAACCACCGGGUACGCCCGGUGGGGUUGUAGGGCCGCCAACAAAGGAUAAUUGGAGGAUUAGCUGAAGUGUCUGGGAAGGCACGGCAUAGAGGGUUAGACCCCCGUAAGCGAAAGUCUGAAGAUGUCCGAGGCGGUACCUGAGUAGGACGGGACACGAGAAAUCCUGUUUGAAUCUGGGGGGACCACCCUCCAAGGCUAAAUAUUACCCAGAGACCGAUAGUGUACCAGUACCGUGAGGGAAAGGUGAAAAGAACCUCGAACAGAGGAGUGAAAUAGUUCCUGAAACCCUGCGUCUACAAGCAGUGGAAGCAAUGCUGAUCUUCGGAUCACGUGCGACCGCGUGCCUUUUGCAUAAUGAGCCAACGAGUUGUCUGUCGGUGGCAGGUUAAGUUUAUAACGAAGCCACAGCGAAAGCGAGUUCGAAAUGAGCGUUCAGUCCCCGGCAACAGACCCGAAACCGAGUGAUCUACCCCUGUCCAGGUUGAAGCCUGGGUAAGACCAGGUGGAAGACCGAACCGUUGAGCCUUAAAACGUUCUCGGAUGAGGUGGGGGUAGGAGUGAAAGGCUAAUCAAACUCGGAGAUAGCUGGUUCUCCCCGAAAUAUAUUGAGGUAUAGCCUCGUGAUAGACCGCCGGAGGUAGAGCACUGGAUGGACUAGGGCCCUCACCAGGGUACCAAACCCAACCAAACUGCGAAUACCGGCGAGUUGUUUCACGGGAGUCAGACAGCGGGAGCUAACUUUCGUUGUCGAAAGGGAAACAACCCAGACCAUCAGCUAAGGCCCCCAAGUCAUGACUAAGUGGGAAAGGAAGUGGGAGCGCCCAGACAACCAGGAGGUUGGCUUAGAAGCAGCCAUCCUUUAAAGAAAGCGUAACAGCUCACUGGUCAAGUCGACUUGCGCGGAAGAUUUAACGGGGCUUAAGCUGUAUACCGAAGUUGCGAAUGCUUAUUUUAUUAUAAGCGUGGUAGGGGAGCGUUCUGUAAGUCACUGAAGGUGUAUUGCGAGAUAUGCUGGAGAUAUCAGAAGUGAGAAUGCUGACAUGAGUAACGAUAAUGCGGGUGAAAAACCCGCACGCCGAAAACCCAAGGUUUCCUGCGCAACGUUAAUCGGCGCAGGGUUAGUCGGUACCUAAGGCGAGACCGAAAGGUGUAGUCGAUGGACAACAGGUUAAUAUUCCUGUACCGCGUAUACUGCGAUGGGGUGACGGAGAAGGCUAAGUUUACCGGGUGUUGGUUAUCCCGGGGAAAGUAUGUAGGUAGGAAGCUUUGGAAAAUCCGGGCUUCUAUUACUGAGGUACGAGACCAUUGAUUUUUUAAUCAAGAAGUAACUGAUGCCAUGCUUCCAAGAAAAGCCUCUAAGCUUCAGGUAUUACGCGACCGUACCCCAAACCGACACAGGUGGGUGGGAUGAGAAUUCUAAGGCGCUUGAGAAAACUCUGGUGAAGGAACUAGGCAAAUUGGUACCGUAACUUCGGGAGAAGGUACGCCUAUAUCGGUGAUGGAACUUGCUUCCUAAGCUGAUGUAGGUCACAGAAACUAGGUGGCUGCGACUGUUUAAUAAAAACACAGCACUCUGCUAACUCGCAAGAGGACGUAUAGGGUGUGACGCCUGCCCGGUGCCGGAAGGUUAAUUGAUGGGGUUAGCGCAAGCGAAGCUCUUGAUCGAAGCCCCGGUAAACGGCGGCCGUAACUAUAACGGUCCUAAGGUAGCGAAAUUCCUUGUCGGGUAAGUUCCGACCUGCACGAAUGGCGUAACGAUGGCCACACUGUCUCCACCCGAGACUCAGUGAAAUUGAAAUCGCGGUGAAGCUGUCUCUUAUACAAUCUCGAGCCCACGAGACGCUACGCUAUCUCGUAUGCCGUCUUCUGCUUGAAAAAAAAAAAAAAAAAAAAAAAAUAGCACAGAACAUCUGCACACUAGUGACACAUAUCACCGAUAUUCAUCAUGUAUAUGCAUUCUAUCAUACCACCCAUACAUCCACAAAACACG
Molecule: ribosomal RNA, 2249 nt
Filed under: marine metagenome
Description: bacterial LSU rRNA
Rfam family: Bacterial large subunit ribosomal RNA
Source: RNAcentral